AUUUAUAUUUACAUUCGGAUUUAUAAUGUAUAUUGAUGUAUAAUUGCAAUUUUUAUAAUUUGUUACAUUUAUUCCUAGUAUAUUUUAUUACCAUUUACAUUUUUAUACAUUGCCUAAUACAUUGCUUACAUAUUUCUAUAGUUAGAUUUCUAUUUCUAAAAGGUUUUUAUUGCUUAAAAUAAACCCCUGACUCUAUCCAAGUAAAAAUCUUUUAAAAAAACCCUUUUCUUUUAAACUGCGUUUAAAUUUAUCUCUAUUUUUCGCAUUUAUAUUCAAAUUUACAUUUAAAAUGUAGAUUGAUGUAUGGUGUUAUAUAAAAAUAUAAAAUAGAAAUUAAAAUAAAUAUUCAGAAGAGCUAGAAUAUAAAUAUCUCUGUAUACAUUGAAUAUAUAUUUCUAUAUUUAGAAUUAUAUCAAAAUAAAAGGUAUAUUCAUUUUUCUUCCAUUAAAACCCUACCUCUAACCAAAUAAAACCCAAAAAAAAAGCCCUUUCUUUAAACGAUACUUGAAUAUUUAUAUAUUUUUUUCAUCAUUAUAGUCACAUUUGCAUUUCAUCUUUAUAGUGAUGUAUUUAUAAAUAUAUAUCAUAUAUAUAUAUAUUAAGGUAGCAAGAUAGACAAAUUAUUAUUUAUAUUAUAUUUCAUACAUACUGCUAAUACUUAUUUUUACUUACCUUUGAAUUUUUUAUAUAGAUCCCCAGCAACAAUAUUUAGAGUAUCUGCAAAUAAAAGACUGGGAAACAGUUAUUUUACUCCAUCAGAACUCAGGAAAGGCCAGAUUUAGAUUUCUCCAAAGGGUCAAAGCUACAUAACACCAGUUAAUACCAUUUACUGUAGAAGCUGAACUGAUUUUGGUCUACACUAAGUUUCCCGUUUCUGACAAACUUCUGCAUGAAUAUUAAAAGUCUGAAGAAUGACCACAAGCAGAUCACCUAAACCUACAAGCUCACUGUUUCCCAUUUUUAACCAUGCCAGGAUCUUCUCUUUUGAUCACAUGCGUGGACAAUUCUCUCUAAAACCUUCUGACCUAACCAAGAAGUCUCACCAUUACCAAGGUUUCACACCAAAAGCAAAGCACCUCUGUAUCAUGCCUGCUGAUGGUGUCAGCACACAGUAUGGCCCAAGGUGUCUGCCCCAUGGAUUUCCCCAGGGUAUUCACACUUUUCCAAAGGUAGCCAUCACCUACACUGACUCUGAAAAUAAUUGCCCUUGCAAGAAGGGUCCAUGGCAGCUCGGGUCAGCCACAGGGGCUUGACACACAGAUCAGGAUAAAGGGACUUGGAGGAUUCCCACAGCUGGCCUGCACUGACAGAUAGAGCAAGUCCCUUGGGAUUGUGAAUUUUGCCUCCCAAGGACUGCAGGCUCACAUCCACACCCAGGACUAUUCAGAAGAGCUGCACCAAAAGCAGACAUCUGGCAGCUCAGGGUUUCUCUAAGCCCAGUCCUACAAGCCUGUGGGAGCCACAGGUAGCCAGGAAGUUCCUGAGAAAUCCAGACCCUCAGCCAGCAGCACAAAGUCCCAGAGCUGCCAAAUCAGAGAGAACUGCCUUCCACCUCUUUUCCCUCACACACUGAUGCUGAAAACUGCCAGACAGGCUAAAAGUCACUCAGGGAGAUAUAGAGGGUAUUACUGAUAAAGAGUUCUAGGGAAGCUGGAUGCCCAGCAUCCAUCAAACUACCUUCUGGAAAUCCCAGCUGUCACAUUUCACUCCACUUUUCCCUUUAACUCAGGCUUUCCCCUUCCAGAAUCAAUUCUUCCUCCCCACUCUCUCCCACUCCCUGUGCAGAUAGCUGGCAACACACACAAGCUGGAUCCACAUGUGGUCACUGAAAUUUGGCUGCACAGCUGACCUUUGCUGCUGCCAAAGGGAGGGAAUUCCAGGCCAGAGCACUCCUCUCUGCCCUUCACUUUUCAGAGCUAAUUGGCUUUUCUAUCCCUUUCAGCACAGCACAGCAUGGCCUCGUGGAGCUUGAAAAGCAGCAGUGGUUUUUAUCACCAUGGUGCAACGGGAGAAGACUUCAGAGCAUUUUCUGGGAACGCCACGUACAGUUAUAUUACAAUUGCAGAAUUUUCUGGCUUUUGUGUCUCCUAAGUCACACAAUGGACUACAAACAGUGCUAUUUCAGUGAAACUCUCUACAACCACUGAAAGUAAGUCACUAACUCUGUUAGAGCAGGCAAUGGACUCACAUGUUCACAAAAACUGACUACAGAUGCUAAAGCCAGACACUUUGUAGGUAAAUGAGAAACACCUCUGGUUUGGGCCCAUCCCUCAGGCAGCAGGUUUUUUGCAUGAAAAGGAUGAUUACUACUUGCAGGGCUAUAUGAAACAUUUACCUUUUUAUCCAAGUUAUGAAAGCAUAGCUUUGAAAAGCACAGUAAUCCCAAGGCCAAAAAACAGGCAGACAAAUGGACAGAUUUAAGCCACUCAUUUGGUUUUCUUGGAGACAGCGUUUUGCUCUUCCAAGGGCUGACCUUAUGCAUUUGCCAGGACUGGAUGCUCCACUUGAAAAAAAAAAAAAAAAGCUUAAAGGAAAUUUCAACAGCAGACUCUUCUGGAGGUGUCCUCUGUCAAUCUCCAGCUUCUCACAGGACUUGGUGCUUGUCUGGGGCUUUUGAGGAACAGCUCAUAAAUUGCUGCUAUUCAGCCGCUGGCAGUUGAAUCCUGCUUUAUUUAGUUUUUGGAAUCUUGUAGUGGAUUCUCCCUGCUUCCUUCCUCCAGUCCCUGCUCACAUUUAGUUUCAGUUUCCUGGAGCUAAGAGUGUUGACCCCUUUAAAAGCAGCAGCAGCAAGAAGACCACAGAGCAAGGAAAACAGUGUCCUGACCAUAAAGGUUGUACCCUCUGCAUAGAGAGAAACUCCACCAACUUUUCAGGAAGAAGAUGCAACAAACUCUUUUGCAGCAUCCUGACAUGACAGCCUUGCAGCAUACAGAAUCCAGCCUAGCAAGGAAAAAAUAAAAAAAAAGUGUUGUGUUAAAAAAAAAAUGCACAAGAAAAAGGUGCUAUUUUACAUGGAUCACAGUAAAGCCACAACAAUCUAAGGGUUCAUUUCUUCAUGAGAAUAUUUGAAGUCUAAAUUUGAAAUGGUCUAAAUUUGAAAUCUGUUGUCAACUGCAGCUGGCUAAAAUGGAAAGGGCUACAUUUCUUUGCUUACCUUGAUGCCUACUGGGAUCUGCUUUAGGGCCAAUUUUUCCUUGAAGCUCCUGGGAAUUACACACCUGUCUUCUUGCAUGAGAUGAAAUAUAUUUAUUAGAAGGUUGCAAAAUGUGUUAGGAUGCAUUGCAGUGCUGUGCUCUUCAAGGACAGAGGCACAAAGUCUGAUUCUUACCGUAGCUGGGACUUUGGGGAUUCCCAAAGCCAUUUUCAUGGCAUCUAAUUUUAGGUCCUUUUAAGAUAGAUUUGUAAUGACAAUUUGGUUUAUAGCCCCUCCCUCUGUUCCAGGGGCAGGAAAAUCUAUCAAAGCAAAUAAGGGAUUUAAAAUUUUUAUUUUAUUUUAUUUUUUUAGAUCUGAAACAAUUUAUGAGACAGCAGAACAAAAAAAAAAAGUUGGGUCUGCAAGAACCUUUCUUCCUUUAGGGACUUCUCUAUUGUCACAUGUCUGUGCAGUCCAUUCCAGCUGCAUCUGUGCUGGUGACUCAUAAAACCUAAAGGGCUAAUAAUAAGUUAUUAAAAGUAUCAGCAGUCCCCCACAACAAAAAAAGGAGAAAGAAAAAAAUGACUGGAAUAAAUGAAGGACUGCACCCUGUGGAAGGGAUCCACACUGGAGCAGAUCAAGAAGAACUGCAGCCCAUGGGAAACACUCACACUGGAGAAGUUCCUGGAGGACUGAGGACUGACUUCCAUGGGAAGAACCCCCCACUGGAGCAGAGGAAGAGUGUGAGAAGUCUGUGAUGAUAUUUUGUCUCCCCUGUGGAGCUGAGGAUGGAGAGUGCCAGAGUGGCUUUGAGGGGCACCUGGUACCCAGCCAGGGUUAACCCACCACAGCUACAUGGAUGGGAUGUGAUCUUAAAUUCACCAUUUCAGGACUCCUGAGUGCUAAACACAACUCUGAGGUCCAGACUUAAUUGUGUGAGCAGGGCUAGCAAUGAGCUUAAAGAAGUUCAACUGGUGCCUGACAAAAUGCUGAGCAGCUCAAGCCUUGCACUGCAAGGAGUUUGCACAGUUUAUGUUUUUACCCAGCAUUUUCCACCACAAUUCCCUUUCCCACUCAGUGCAGGGGUC
Long non-coding RNA from Taeniopygia guttata (zebra finch), 4221 nucleotides. The record is from Ensembl. Lineage: Eukaryota; Metazoa; Chordata; Aves; Passeriformes; Estrildidae.